This is a long non-coding RNA of Ictalurus punctatus (channel catfish), 1374 nucleotides long. Lineage: Eukaryota; Metazoa; Chordata; Actinopteri; Siluriformes; Ictaluridae. The record is from Ensembl.
GCCACAUCUGUGAGUGGAGCCGUGUAACCACGCAGGGCAAAUGGAGAGCCAACAUGGCCAGCAAGCAGCACAGUGGAAAAACCACUUAAGCAUACUAGCGUGAGAUGCAUUUAUAAAAAAAAAAAAAAAAAAACACAACCUCCCCACUAACUCGGUAACAGUGGGACUAUCAAACUAGCGCAUUAACUCGGUGACGGUGGGAUUAUAAAGAGAGGACGUGACUCGGUGACGGUGGGAUUAUAAAGCGAGGACGUGACUCGUAACGGUGGGAUUAUAACGCGAGUGCGUUCACUAGAAAGAUCUGUUUACAAUCCACUAGUGAACUUGAAAUCGACUGACAGACAUGAGAAUGAGCGAGCGGUGCGUGUCGGGAAGACACGGCGUCAGCGUGUUGGACUCGGACGUCCACUCGAGUAAUAACGCCGCGUCGGCGGUGUAAAAAAGUCGAGUGUUUGCUCAUCGAAACGCAGGAUCAUCCGCUCCGUGCGUUUAGAUCGGACACUCGCUCUUCACCUCUCCUACACUCGCCACCUUUCCCUCUUCACCUCUCACCGUAUCUUUUCUCGCAACCCUCCACUAACAGCCCGUUACUCUGGGAAGGAAAAAGGAAAUAAAGUCUCAGAUCACGAAUCUGCACCGUUCCGUGCAAAAGACCGGCUGGAGAGAAGAUGUAAUAAAGAAGACAUUAUACGAACAGACAUUAUCGUUAAGCCACGCCAUGAACGACGUUAUCUUCGAUUAAAUAUACGGAAACAGAAAAGGAACGUGAUAAAAAAAAAAAGCACGCGUCUCAGUAAACCGGUGGGCCGAGGCCACACUCUCUGGAUCAUCAGACUUUAGAAGAUCGCAUCUAAAGCCGUCACCAUGAUGUACGAUUUUGGCUAUGAACGUUUUUUAGCACAUAGCACCGUUCCCAUUCUCUCUUUAAGGACUAUUGGGCUUUAAUGAAACAGAAAAAGGGGUUGUUGGGACAAACAGAAGAGAGAGAGAGAGAGAGAGAGAGAGAGAGAGAGAGAGAGAGAGAGAGAGAGAGAGAGCGCAAUCUUUCACAGGAAAUAUCUUCCACCCUCAUAAAAGGACAUCAGUGAUAUCCUUAGGAAAUAAAGACAAUAGUAAUCUCACAACACCAUGGUGGGGUCAUUUACAGGGAACUCCCAGCAGUAAGAGAGUGUGUGUAUGUGAGAGAGAGAGAGAGAGAGAGAGAGAGAGAGAGAGAGAGAGAGAGAGAGAGAGAGAGAGAGCACCACUUGACUAACUAUACAGUCAUGAGAAAAAUUAAGUACACUCCAUGGAAAUUGUUGGCUUUUUGACAUGUCUGGACAAGCGAAGGACAAACCUUUGAUCAUCUUUGAAACCUAUUAAUAAAGUUGAACA